GACGAACGCUGGCGGCGUGCUUAACACAUGCAAGUCGAACGGAAAGGCCCUGCUUUUGUGGGGUGCUCGAGUGGCGAACGGGUGAGUAACACGUGAGUAACCUGCCCUUGACUUUGGGAUAACUUCAGGAAACUGGGGCUAAUACCGGAUAGGAGCUCCUGCUGCAUGGUGGGGGUUGGAAAGUUUCGGCGGUUGGGGAUGGACUGGCGGCUUAUCAGCUUGUUGGUGGGGUAGUGGCUUACCAAGGCGUUGACGGGUAGCCGGCCUGAGAGGGUGACCGGCCACAUUGGGACUGAGAUACGGCCCAGACUCCUACGGGAGGCAGCAGUGGGGAAUAUGGCACAAUGGGCGGAAGCCUGAUGCAGCAACGCCGCGUGCGGGAGGACGGCCUUCGGGUUGUAAACCGCUUUCGCCUGUGACGAAGCGUGAGUGACGGUAAUGGGUAAAGAAGCACCGGCUAACUACGUG
This 468-nucleotide ribosomal RNA is filed under the name uncultured bacterium. RNAcentral describes it as "partial 16S ribosomal RNA". It matches the Rfam family "Bacterial small subunit ribosomal RNA", at positions 28 to 507 of the family's 1533-position model. The record is from RNAcentral.